UUAAAGUGCAAAUGGUUUGCAGUAAUGUAAAUGACAAUAAGUAAAUGCAAACCAGAGAUCACGCCGAAUUUACAGUGGUUCGGUCAAAUGACCUACAUCCACUUGUGAGGCCCCUCUUCGAUGAGGCUCCCACCUUCCACUAGCAAAUCUCUUGAAGGGGAAGGGUAAAUAUCCCUCUUACAACUUUUUACAAGCGGUU
Molecule: long non-coding RNA, 199 nt
Filed under: Musa acuminata (dwarf banana)
Lineage: Eukaryota; Viridiplantae; Streptophyta; Magnoliopsida; Zingiberales; Musaceae
Description: long non-coding RNA (MACU_LNC008710)
Source: RNAcentral